RNAcentral lists this ribosomal RNA (705 nucleotides) under Candida albicans. RNAcentral's name for it is "eukaryotic LSU rRNA". It matches the Rfam family "Eukaryotic large subunit ribosomal RNA", at positions 102 to 822 of the family's 3401-position model. The record is from RNAcentral. Lineage: Eukaryota; Fungi; Ascomycota; Pichiomycetes; Serinales; Debaryomycetaceae.
GGAAAGCUCAAAUUUGAAAUCUAGCACUUCGGUGUUCGAGUUGUAAUUUGAAGAUGGUAACCUUGGGUUUGGCUCUUGUCUAUGUUCCUUGGAACAGGACGUCAUAGAGGGUGAGAAUCCCGUCUGAUGAGAUGCCCAUUCCUAUGUAAGGUGCUAUCGAAGAGUCGAGUUGUUUGGGAAUGCAGCUCUAAGUGGGUGGUAAAUUCCAUCUAAAGCUAAAUAUUGGCGAGAGACCGAUAGCGAACAAGUACAGUGAUGGAAAGAUGAAAAGAACUUUGAAAAGAGAGUGAAAAAGUACGUGAAAUUGUUGAAAGGGAAGGGCAUUAGAUCAGACUUGGUGUUUUACGAUUAUCUUCUCUUCUUGAGUUGUGCACUCGUAUUUCACUGGGCCAGCAUCGAUUCGGAUGGCAAGAUAAUGGCAGUUGAAUGUGGCUUCACUUCGGUGGAGUGUUAUAGCUUCUGCUGAUAUUGCCUGUCUGGAUCGAGGGCUGCGUCUUUUGACUAGGAUGCUGGCGUAAUGAUCUAAUGCCGCCCGUCUUGAAACACGGACCAAGGAGUCUAACGUCUAUGCGAGUGUUUGGGUGUAAAACCCGUACGCGUAAUGAAAGUGAACGUAGGUGAGAGCUCUUUUUUGAGUGCAUCAUCGACCGAUCCUGAUGUUUUCGGAUGGAUUUGAGUAAGAGCAUAGCUGUUGGGACCCGAAAG